GGGGGGGGGGGGGGGGGGGGGGGGGGGGGGGGGGGCGGGCGGGAGGGCGCGGCGUUUGGGGGGUGCUCGAGUGGCGAACGGGUGAGUAACACGGGAGUAACCUGCCCUUGACUUUGGGAUAACUUCAGGAAACUGGGGCUAAUACCGGAUAGGAGCUCCUGCUGCAUGGUGGGGGUUGGAAAGUUUCGGCGGUUGGGGAUGGACUCGCGGCUUAUCAGCUUGUUGGUGGGGUAGUGGCUUACCAAGGCUUUGACGGGUAGCCGGCCUGAGAGGGUGACCGGCCACAUUGGGACUGAGAUGCGGCCCAGACUCCUACGGGAGGCAGCAGUGGGGAAUAUUGCACAAUGGGCGGAAGCCUGAUGCAGCAACGCCGCGUGCGGGAUGACGGCCUUCGGGUUGUAAACCGCUUUCGCCUGUGACGAAGCGUGAGUGACGGUAAUGGGUAAAGAAGCACCGGCUAACUACGUG
This 468-nucleotide ribosomal RNA is filed under the name uncultured bacterium. RNAcentral describes it as "partial 16S ribosomal RNA". The stretch from base 49 to 468 matches the Rfam family "Bacterial small subunit ribosomal RNA", at positions 39 to 507 of the family's 1533-position model. The record is from RNAcentral.